Molecule: ribosomal RNA, 440 nt
Filed under: uncultured bacterium
Lineage: Bacteria
Description: partial 16S ribosomal RNA
Rfam family: Bacterial small subunit ribosomal RNA
Source: RNAcentral
CCUACGGGAGACAGUAGUGGGGAAUAUUGCACAAUGGGGGAAACCCUGAUGCAGCGACGCCGCGUGAGUGAAGAAGUAUUUCGGUACGUAAAGCUCUAUCAGCAGGGAAGAAAAUGACGGUACCUGACUAAGAAGCCCCGGCUAACUACGUGCCAGCAGCCGCGGUAAUACGUAGGGGGCAAGCGUUAUCCGGAUUUACUGGGUGUAAAGGGAGCGUAGACGGCAGCGCAAGUCUGGAGUGAAAUCCCAUGGCUUAACCAUGGAACUGCUUUGGAAACUGUGCAGCUAGAGUGCAGGAGAGGUAAGCGGAAUUCCUAGUGUAGCGGUGAAAUGCGUAGAUAUUAGGAGGAACACCAGUGGCGAAGGCGGCUUACUGGACUGUAACUGACGUUGAGGCUCGAAAGCGUGGGGAGCAAACAGGAUUAGAUACCCUGGUAGUC